AUAAGCGGAGGAAAAGAAACCAACAGGGAUUGCCUCAGUAACGGCGAGUGAAGCGGCAAAAGCUCAAAUUUGAAAUCUAACACUUUCAGUGUUCGAGUUGUAAUUUGAAGAAAGUUUCUCUGAAUAGUCCUUUAUCUAUGUUCCUUGGAACAGGACGUCAUAGAGGGUGAGAAUCCCGUAUGAUUUUGGAUACUAUUCUUUGUGAGAUUCUUUCGAAGAGUCGAGUUGUUUGGGAAUA
This 238-nucleotide ribosomal RNA is filed under the name uncultured fungus. RNAcentral describes it as "partial 26S ribosomal RNA". It matches the Rfam family "Eukaryotic large subunit ribosomal RNA", at positions 46 to 282 of the family's 3401-position model. Lineage: Eukaryota; Fungi. The record is from RNAcentral.